UGUUACUUUUACUCGCCUGCUCUGUAACAACACAUGAAGCACGCGAGCCUGAUGGGCUCGGGCUGAGGGGGGAAGGAUUCCCAUUGUUCGUUACAGAGGGUCACUCACCCGACCUGAAGCUUCCGGGUCCCUGUUCGUGGCGCCAGAAUGAAGCAGGGGGUCCCGCGGCGGUGAGGACGAUGGAGCCUUAACGAAGCAUGCCCGACUCCAGAGACCAGGUUCAGUGACACAAAUCUAAGUUUAUUGUGCUGCACUCCCUUCCUACCCCAGUCUCAUCCAGUGCUGGUGAAAAAAAAUUUUCCAAGGAUAUACACCGUGAAGCACUCUGAAGACAAAGUCCUGAAGGAGACCGGGAAGUUUUUAAUCCAGUGACCUGGAGCCCUAUACGUGGCUUGUUGGGUGACCUAUUAGAAGAUAAAGUGCAGAAGCAGAAGGAGAUGGAGAAUCUACUUAAAAAAAAUGUCAAAGAAUCUACUAAAAAAAAUGCCAAAGAUAUUGAUCAAUUCAUUAUAAACUGCUUCCACCAAGCAUAUAAUAAUGGACAGUCCUCAGCUCCUCCAGAAGUGGCCUGGCCACCUGAGUCAGCAGAAACUACAGAUACCCUCAAGCUUUGUCCUCCUGAAGAGUUCCUUAAAGUGUGUAAGAAAAGGCCUGAAGAGAUCUAUCCAAUAAAGGAGAGAAAAGACCGCACUCGCCUGGCUCUCAUCAUAUGCAAUAGAGAGUUUGAUCACCUUCAGCCCAGACAGGGAGCAGAGCAUGACAUCACAGGGAUGAAAGAGUUGCUUGUGGGUCUUGGCUACAGUGUGAUUGUGGAAGAGAACCUCACAGCCAAGGAGAUGGAGAAAGUGCUGGUGGCAUUUGCUGCCCGCCCAGAGCACAGGACCUCAGAUAGUACAUUCCUGGUGUUCAUGUCCCAUGGCCUCCUGGAUAAACUCUGUGGGAAACAGCACAGCAAGGAAAACCCAGACGUGCUACCUUAUGACACCAUCUUUCGGGUAUUCAACAAUCGCAACUGCCCCAGUCUCAGGGACAAACCGAAGGUCAUCAUUGUCCAGGCCUGCAGAGGUGAAAAUCGCGGGGAAUUUUGGGUCAGUGACUCUCCAGUAGCCAUGAUAGACAGCUCUUCACAGUCACCUGAGAACCUGAAGGAAUAUGCCAUUUACAAAGCACACGUGGAGAAGGACUUCAUUGCUUUCUUCUCCUCAACUCCACAUAAUGUGUCCUGGAGAGACACUAGUAAAGGUUCUUUCUUCAUCAUACAACUAAUCAAAUGCUUCCAGAAGUAUUCUUGGUGCUGUCACCUCGAGGAAGUAUUUCGGAAGUCAAAUGGAGCAUCAAGCUGGCUGAUUUGUGUUUCCAGUUAUAGUCCAUUGCGUGUGAGGUCCACGUGGCCAUGGGCCAUGCAGCUAUGGAGACAACAGGGGCAGGAACAAAGCCAGAGGAGCAUGGGAGCCAAGAGAGCCACACAAGAGAGUUCAACAAUCAUUUGAAAAGCCAGAUGUUAGAGCCCAGAUGCCCACCAUUGAACGACUAUCCAUGUCAAGAUAUUUCUACCUCUUUCCUGGCAAUUGAAAAUAGGAAUUACUGGCAGUCCUGCUCUUCUUUACCAACUUCUAGAAGUACCUUUGCCAGUAUGGCACACAUAUUUAACCUUUUGUAUUUAAAUAAAAAAUGAAAAUACA
This is an RNA transcript of Myotis lucifugus (little brown bat), 1682 nucleotides long. It is a transcript of the gene named caspase-13-like, with no coding region annotated. The transcript has 11 exons. The record is from RefSeq and is a predicted model, not a curated record. Lineage: Eukaryota; Metazoa; Chordata; Mammalia; Chiroptera; Vespertilionidae.